UUCGGUCGUACUGGUGUUACUGAUUUCUACCUUCUGACGAACCGUCAUGUCAUUAAUUUGGUGUGGUGGGGAAUCAGGACUGUUACUUUGAAAAAAUUAGAGUGUUUAAAGCAGGCUCGCGCUUGAAUACAUUAGCAUGGAAUAAUGAAAUAGGACGUUGAUCCUAUUUUGUUGGUUUCUAGGAUUGACGUAAUGAUUAAUAGGGAUAGUUGGGGGCAUUAGUAUUCAAUUGUCGGAGGUGAAAUUCUUGGAUUUAUUGAAGACUAACUACUGCGAAAGCAUUUGCCAAGGAUGUUUUCAUUAAUCAAGAACGAAAGUUAGGGGAUCGAAGACGAUCACAUACCGUCGUAGUCUUAACCAUAAACUAUGCCGACUAGGGAUCGGAUGAUGUUAUUUUUAAGGACUCAUUCGGCGCCUUACG
RNAcentral lists this ribosomal RNA (421 nucleotides) under uncultured Glomeromycotina. Its description in RNAcentral is "SSU rRNA". It matches the Rfam family "Eukaryotic small subunit ribosomal RNA", at positions 670 to 1092 of the family's 1831-position model. Lineage: Eukaryota; Fungi; Glomeromycota. The record is from RNAcentral.